GGCCCAGGGUUCACUCCCAGCAACUCCUUCCCGUCCAAUCGUGGAAAUAGGAGUAAGUCAGCUGCAGCACUUGCAUACCUCUUCUAUCUUUAAGAGAAAACAGAGCUAUUUCUUUCUUCUUCUACUUCCUUCUUUUUUCUUUUUUUUUUUUGACAAACAGAGCUAUUUCUUUGAAGCCACACAAUCCAGCACAAGGCUACCAUGACACAAUC
RNAcentral lists this long non-coding RNA (212 nucleotides) under Elaeis guineensis (African oil palm). Its description in RNAcentral is "long non-coding RNA (EGUI_LNC027070)". The record is from RNAcentral. Lineage: Eukaryota; Viridiplantae; Streptophyta; Magnoliopsida; Arecales; Arecaceae.